ACACGGUAGGGGGCGAGCGUUGUUCGGAAUUACUGGGCGUAAAGGGCAUGUAGGCGGUUCUGUAAGCCUGACGUGAAAGGCUAUGGCUCAACCAUGGCACUGCGUUGGGAACUGCGGGACUUGAAUCAUGGAGAGGGAGCUGGAAUUCCAGGUGGUAGGGGUGAAAUCUGUAGAUAUCUGGAAGAACACCAGUGGCGAAGGCGAGCUCCUGGCCAAUGAUUGACGCUGAGGUGACGAAAGUGUGGGGAUC
RNAcentral lists this ribosomal RNA (250 nucleotides) under uncultured bacterium. RNAcentral describes it as "partial 16S ribosomal RNA". It matches the Rfam family "Bacterial small subunit ribosomal RNA", at positions 523 to 769 of the family's 1533-position model. The record is from RNAcentral.